Regulatory RNA element from Dermabacter sp. HFH0086, 45 nucleotides. It matches the Rfam family "L31-Actinobacteria ribosomal protein leader". The record is from Rfam. NCBI's taxonomy places the organism in Bacteria, Bacillati, Actinomycetota, Actinomycetes, Micrococcales, Dermabacteraceae.
ACGGUUCUGGUUCACGGCCCGCACCUCGGCGCCGACCCAGCGGCC